This 101-nucleotide ribosomal RNA is filed under the name Pentastichella pentasticha. RNAcentral describes it as "partial 5.8S ribosomal RNA". It matches the Rfam family "5.8S ribosomal RNA", at positions 58 to 154 of the family's 154-position model. From Rfam's summary of the family: 5.8S ribosomal RNA (5.8S rRNA) is a component of the large subunit of the eukaryotic ribosome. It is transcribed by RNA polymerase I as part of the 45S precursor that also contains 18S and 28S rRNA. The record is from RNAcentral. Lineage: Eukaryota; Viridiplantae; Streptophyta; Bryopsida; Orthotrichales; Orthotrichaceae.
AUACGUAGUGUGAAUUGCAGAAUUCCGCGAAUCAUCGAGUCUUUGAACGCAAGUUGCGCCCGAGGCUUGUCCGAGGGCAUUUCCGCUAGAGCGUCACCGCG